Long non-coding RNA from Panicum virgatum (switchgrass), 1004 nucleotides. RefSeq lists it as uncharacterized. The transcript has 2 exons. The record is from RefSeq and is a predicted model, not a curated record. Lineage: Eukaryota; Viridiplantae; Streptophyta; Magnoliopsida; Poales; Poaceae.
AGUUACCCACGUCGGCGCUAACUCAGUUCCUCUCACGAUUCAUCUGUUUCCUCACCAUCGUUCAUAGCGACGGACCGUCGGCGGCGGCGGCUCCUCCCUGAUCCAGUCUCGUUAGGUGCGCCGACGGCUUCCUCUCUCCCUCGCGGUUCCAUUACAGUGCCAAUAUUUUCCUCUGCCUCUCUCCCUCGCGGUUUGAUUCAAGGCUGGCGGAGCGGCGACAACUUCCUCUGCCUCUCCCUCUCGCGGUUCAGCCCCUUCCUGAUCCCUCCUCCAUCCGUGCUCUGGCAAUCAUGGCGAGAGGGGCGGUCUCGGCUCCCCGGCCGCCUCUUUGUCCGCUCAGUCUACCGCAUCCAGCGCCCGCGCACCCACCAUACCCCUGUUCCCAUUUCAUCGGCAGCUGCGACGGCCGGCAUCCAUUGCGACCUUCAUGGCGAGGAUGACGGCCUCGACAUGGUGGCCGCUUCUUGCCCUGCACCCCCAACCGCGACCUUUACAGGAUCACUCGCCUCAUCCCCAAUCCAUGACUUCUUGGUCUUGCAGGUACCAGGGCAACUUGAACAUGCAGUCCGUCAGUUUUGCAAUGAAUUGAAGCUAGCUGGUUCAGUUUCAUCAAAACUAAGGAAGCACAACAACAUGUGUAUUUAGUUCUGUAAUAGAUAGGAAUUUAUCGGUGAUUUUAGGCUACACAUUGCAAACUGGGUGAUCAAUGCUGAUGCCUUUGAACCUGGAGCAUCAACUGAAGGCUGCACCGGUACCAAUCAGAAAGGUCCAUAAAGUGGUGCUUCAAGAAGGAAGAUGUUCAAUUCUGAAGUGUGCAUUGUGAUGAUCAUUGAUGUUCUUUUGUAGGCUGUGGCUCUAUUUCGACCAGCUCCUUUUCUUCUUUUGAUCUGCUUAAGAUAAUAUAACUUGUACCAUCACUGAAUGUUGAUUUGUAAUAGCAAAUUGAUGUGAAUUUAGACUGUGGCUCAAUAUGGAUUAAGAUGAAUUAAACUGUACUUGGAAUC